GAGGAAUAUUGGACAAUGGGGGCAACCCUGAUCCAGCCAUGCCGCGUGAGUGAAGAAGGCCUUCGGGUUGUAAAGCUCUUUCAAUAGUGAAGAUAAUGACGGUAGCUAUAGAAGAAGCCCCGGCUAAAUUCGUGCCAGCAGCCGCGGUAAUACGAAUGGGGCAAGCGUUGUUCGGAAUCACUGGGCUUAAAGCGUGCGUAGGCGGUUAUGAAAGUCAGAAGUGAAAGCCCAGGGCUCAACCCUGGAACUGCUUUUGAAACUCCAUAACUAGAAUCCGGGAGGGGUCAGUAGAAUUCCUAGUGUAGAGGUGAAAUUCGCAGAUAUUAGGAGGAAUACCAGUGGCGUAGGCGACUGACUGGACCGGCAUUGACGCUGAGGUACGAAAGCGUGGGUAGCAAAC
This 400-nucleotide ribosomal RNA is filed under the name uncultured bacterium. Its description in RNAcentral is "bacterial SSU rRNA". It matches the Rfam family "Bacterial small subunit ribosomal RNA", at positions 356 to 773 of the family's 1533-position model. The record is from RNAcentral.